CAAGCACUUCCUUUACAGCCUGCCACACUUUUUUAUUGCAUUUCCCCCUCAAUUAGUACACUACAACAAAAGCACUGUGUUAGAUCGGAAGAGCCCCCCCCCCCCCCCCCCCCCCCCCCCCCCCCCCCCCCCCCCCCCCCCCCCCAGGCAAGGCAACACUCUGGCAGUCGGCCAAGAGAGCCACACAGAUUAUUGCAUACGCACGGCACCGCCGGGCCAAGGCGGCCUUUAACCCUUUGCGAGCCGCCGCACGCUGCCCGGGGGCGGGGAGGGGGGCUGGGGGCUCGCCUCGACACUUACCUCCUCCUUCCCCUUGUAACACUUCAAAGGCCAGGCUGCCUCUCUAUGGUGGGAUUAAUCCCUGCGCACGCCAAUGUUCCAGAGAAGUCCCCCCCCCCCCCCCCCCCCCCCCCCCCCCCCCCCCCCCCCCCCCCCCCCCCCCCCCCCCCCCCCCCCCCCCCCCCCCCCCCCCCCCCCCCCCCCCCCCCCCCCUCCUGUAGCAGGCUGCGUCGCGGGGCUCUCAAAUCACUUUGCAGGCAGAAAGAAAUGAGAUGGGGAGGGGAGAAAAAAAAAAAAAGACACAACCCAACCCCAAACCUAUAUUGUUUAAGGGGGAAGAAACAGACAGCUAGCAACGUGUGCUGUCCUUCAGAAAUGGCAGGAAAUGCUGGUUUAAAGGAUGCAUGAAAAUCGGUUGCUCAGUCAAGGCUGGUCUGUCUCUCUAAGGGAGGAAACAAAACUGCUGGAAACCAGGGAAUGCUCUGAAGCAGCCUCUGCGAGAGUCAGAAGAGGGUGAUUUUAUUUAAGAUGCCAUAUUGCAUUUCGCUGUGGCGAACUGUGAAGUGAUUUAGAGCAAGAGCCUGCAUCCCACUCCCUUUUUCUGAAUUAGUUUUAUUUAUCCGGAUCCUUGGCAUAUGCUUGAGUUGCUUUGUAGAAAGUACCUUCCACUUCAUUCAGACCAAAGAGAGUCUGACUCAUACCGUCACUGAACUACAAGACAGGCAGGGCUGAACCACGCAUGUUUGGGUACUAACUCCCUCUGGAUUCCUCAGCACUGGUUUCAUCAAAGAUCCCUUUGCAUGUCUCCCAGCUGCCUGCAGACCACUGUGAGCCUCUCCUGAACUUCACCCCCACCUCCCGCGAUCUAUGGCAACUUACACUCCCCUGGCACUCCAGCAUCAGUGUGUUACUCUCUUACUUCCCUCAACGCAGGUGCCUGCAAGUGCCAUAAACUGCACUGAUGGGCAAGUAACAAGCACAGAUGCAAAACAGAGAUCAGAGGAAAUACCUUCCUUCUCGACUGUUUCAGUCUGGUCUUCAUUUAAAAAAAAAUUUAAAAACCAAAAAAACAACACCCCCCCCCAAAUCAACUUACCAAGCUAGGUACAAAGAAAUAAAACAAAUUAUGAAAGCAAUGAAUAGGAUGAGUGCAGCCAAAGGAUAGUGGGAUGCUAUGCUGGCAUGCAACCCAACAGUGGUCCAUAAGAAACUAUUCACUCUCUGCUUUGGCAUCAGGAAGAGAAGUAGAGCACAGAGGCCUCUCCCCACCCCAAGAACAUUGCAAAAAAAUGUUGCAUAAAUACCAAGGGCUGUUACAUGCUGACUCCAAGGAGCUGGAUGUUGUGGGGUCCCAGGCCUCAGAAAGGCACUCCAUGUAGCAUAGACAUCCAGAUCAAGUUGUUUAUUGCAGUUUGUACAUUUUGCCAUGACAAUAAGCUCCAAGGUACCAGGUUUCUAGCAGGUAUACCUCAUAUGUGUCCAUUUUAUAUUAGCAUAAUGUUUUAGCUGUGAAGUAAAUCUAGCACUAGAGUCUAGAUGCAAAGUACCCUAGGAUUCAGCCUGCCAUUAUGCAGAUCAGCAAAGGAGUCCCCUAGGAUUCAGCCUGCCAUUAUGCAGAUCAGCAAGGGAGUCCCUUCUAUAAAGGACUGAAAUGACUUACUAUAAUUGCUAAGGAAUGUAGUAAUAACAUUGUAAACUUCUAUAAAGGACUGAAAUGACUUACUAUAAGGAAUGUAGUAAUAACAUUGUAAGCUGCAGUGUUCUGGAUUUAAGAGUUGAUACUGUAAUACAGACUAGCUCUAUGAAACAAGGAUCUUUCACCAUAGCAUCUCCUGUAUCUUCAGUUUGGGUUCACUAUGAAAAUCAAUAUGAUUUUCUGUUCUAGCAGUGAUCUGGAGACAGAAGCAGCAAUAGACCAAGAUACCUGGCCAAACAUGCCACUCAGUACUACGAGAGAGAUAAUCUACAGCAGCAAAGCAGACAGCAAAAUUGUAUUCACCCAGCUAAUGUAAGGUUCAUUGAUUUAAUAAAAGGAACCAAGGGAAAGAGACAUAGACUGGAGAUUACUGAAAAUCAAGUGAAAGCCCAGAAGAAACUGAAAACACAUCAUCGAGGUUCAAUUCAGAGUACAAGGCAUUCUGUCUGCCACCUUUUUUAUUCCAGUAGUACAGAGCGUUACCUCAGGAGAAAGGAAUCUUUCCUUCUCAAACAUUCACCUUGCCAAGAGGUGUGGCAUGCACAGAGAAAGAGAAGCCACAUUCAUGCUGAAGCAAGCUUUGGGCAACUUUCCCUUCUGCAGCAGGCUCAUGUAAGAGGCUUG
This 2599-nucleotide long non-coding RNA is filed under the name Ficedula albicollis (Collared flycatcher). RNAcentral's name for it is "lncRNA (ENSFALG00000026350.1)". The record is from RNAcentral. Lineage: Eukaryota; Metazoa; Chordata; Aves; Passeriformes; Muscicapidae.